RNAcentral lists this ribosomal RNA (628 nucleotides) under uncultured rumen bacterium. RNAcentral's name for it is "bacterial SSU rRNA". It matches the Rfam family "Bacterial small subunit ribosomal RNA", at positions 76 to 721 of the family's 1533-position model. The record is from RNAcentral.
GAGCUUGCUCCUUCAAGUUAGUGGCGGACGGGUGAGUAACACGUGAGCAACCUGCCUUUAAGAGAGGGAUAGCUUCUGGAAACGGAUGGUAAUACCUCAUAAUAUAGCGUUACCGCAUGAUAAUGCUAUCAAAGAUUUAUCGCUUAAAGAUGGGCUCGCGUCUGAUUAGAUAGUUGGUGAGGUAACGGCUCACCAAGUCGACGAUCAGUAGCCGGACUGAGAGGUUGAACGGCCACAUUGGGACUGAGACACGGCCCAGACUCCUACGGGAGGCAGCAGUGGGGAAUAUUGCACAAUGGGGGAAACCCUGAUGCAGCGAUGCCGCGUGGAGGAAGAAGGUUUUCGGAUUGUAAACUCCUUUUGUCAGGGAAGAUAAUGACUGUACCUGACGAAUAAGCUCCGGCUAACUACGUGCCAGCAGCCGCGGUAAUACGUAGGGAGCGAGCGUUGUCCGGAAUUACUGGGUGUAAAGGGAGCGUAGGCGGGAUGGUAAGUCAGGUGUGAAAUCUAUGGGCUCAACUCAUAAACUGCAUUUGAAACUGUACUUCUUGAGUGCUGGAGAGGUAGAUGGAAUUCCUUGUGUAGCGGUGAAAUGCGUAGAUAUAAGGAAGAACACCAGUGGCGAAGG